Molecule: long non-coding RNA, 243 nt
Filed under: Nicotiana benthamiana
Lineage: Eukaryota; Viridiplantae; Streptophyta; Magnoliopsida; Solanales; Solanaceae
Description: long non-coding RNA (NBEN_LNC001137)
Source: RNAcentral
AUCUUUCCCCCUAAUUCUGGAGUCAACACAUUCAUUAGCUAUUAAAGCUGCAUCCAUGAUUUGCCUGCCUUUGAUGAAGGCCAUCUGCUGAGAGUCCACAAGUUUAUAAUAGACCACCUUCUGAAAGAAACCUUCUUCAGUCUUUCAGCGAGCACCUUAGAAAUGAUCUUGUACACACUGCCAAUCAGACUAAUAGGUCUAAAAUCCUUCAACUCUGCUGCACCAACCUUCUUAGGAAUCAAA